RNAcentral lists this long non-coding RNA (403 nucleotides) under Rattus norvegicus (Norway rat). RNAcentral's name for it is "long non-coding RNA NONRATT022572". Lineage: Eukaryota; Metazoa; Chordata; Mammalia; Rodentia; Muridae. The record is from RNAcentral.
AGGAAUCUACUUCCACUCAAGCGCCCCAAAAAGGCAUCCUUAUUCUUAAGACUCUGGGCAUACUUUACUAUCUGAUGUUGGAGUUUUCAAAGGCGAAGGAAUAUGCCACGAAAGCCCUCAGUCUAGCUGAGGUGUAUCUCAGUGAGGAGGAGCAAGGGGUUAUUCAAGAGUUGCUGAGUGCCAUCUUGGCUGAGGAGAAGCAGCUCACGACCUAGAGGCCACCUUGCUGGUGCUGCCGUGGGCUGUGGGCUGUGGGCUGUGGGCUGACUAGUGGUGCAGAGCUGCUCACAGGUCCUCUGGCCUGCUCCCACCCCUCCCUGGGGACCGCCUGAGGGGCUGUGAUCCUGUCAGCUGGUGACCUAGAGCUUUGGGCGCAGUGUUCAAUAAAAUUUGUUUAUCAUGA